RNAcentral lists this transfer RNA (74 nucleotides) under bacterium. RNAcentral describes it as "tRNA-Val". It matches the Rfam family "tRNA". Rfam says of the family: Transfer RNA (tRNA) molecules are approximately 80 nucleotides in length. Their secondary structure includes four short double-helical elements and three loops (D, anti-codon, and T loops). The record is from RNAcentral.
GGGCGCAUAGCUCAGUUGGUUAGAGCGCUAUCCUCACACGGUAGAGGCCUCUGGUUCGAGUCCAGAUGCGCCCA